CGGCGUUGCUUAAUACAUGCAAGUCGAGCGAACAGAAAAGGAGCUUGCUCCUUUGACGUUAGCGGCGCGACGGGUGAGUAACACGUGGGCAACCUACCCUAUAGUUUGGGAUAACUCCGGGAAACCGGGGCUAAUACCGAAUAAUCUCUUUUGCUUCAUGGUGAAAGACUGAAAGACGGUUUCGGCUGUCGCUAUAGGAUGGGCCCGCGGCGCAUUAGCUAGUUGGUGAGGUAACGGCUCACCAAGGCGACGAUGCGUAGCCGACCUGAGAGGGUGAUCGGCCACACUGGGACUGAGACACGGCCCAGACUCCUACGGGAGGCAGCAGUAGGGAAUCUUCCACAAUGGGCGAAAGCCUGAUGGAGCAACGCCGCGUGAGUGAAGAAGGUUUUCGGAUCGUAAAACUCUGUUGUAAGGGAAGAACAAGUACAGUAGUAACUGGCUGUACCUUGACGGUACCUUAUUAGAAAGCCACGGCUAACUACGUGCCAGCAGCCGCGGUAAUACGUAGGUGGCAAGCGUUGUCCGGAAUUAUUGGGCGUAAAGCGCGCGCAGGCGGUCCUUUAAGUCUGAUGUGAAAGCCCACGGCUCAACCGUGGAGGGUCAUUGGAAACUGGGGGACUUGAGUGCAGAAGAGGAAAGUGGAAUUCCAAGUGUAGCGGUGAAAUGCGUAGAGAUUUGGAGGAACACCAGUGGCGAAGGCGACUUUCUGGUCUGUAACUGACGCUGAGGCGCGAAAGCGUGGGGAGCAAACAGGAUUAGAUACCCUGGUAGUCCACGCCGUAAACGAUGAGUGCUAAGUGUUAGGGGGUUUCCGCCCCUUAGUGCUGCAGCUAACGCAUUAAGCACUCCGCCUGGGGAGUACGGUCGCCAGGACUGAAACUCAAAGGAAUUGACGGGGGGCCCGCACAAGCUGUGGAGCAUGUGGCUUAAUUCGAAGCAUCGCGAAUAAUCUUUACCAGGUCUUGACAUCCCGUGACACCUGUAGAGAUUAUAGGUUCCCUUCCGGGGAGCAACGGGACCAGGUGGUUGCAUGG
RNAcentral lists this ribosomal RNA (1037 nucleotides) under Lysinibacillus fusiformis. RNAcentral's name for it is "bacterial SSU rRNA". It matches the Rfam family "Bacterial small subunit ribosomal RNA", at positions 40 to 1048 of the family's 1533-position model. Lineage: Bacteria; Bacillati; Bacillota; Bacilli; Caryophanales; Bacillaceae. The record is from RNAcentral.